CAUACAAAAGACCACUUAUAAAUCCCAAACCCUAAAAACCUAACCCUAAUUUCCCUAACCCAAACGGUGCCCUCAAUCCCUCCUCUGCCUCUCUGCCGCAAACAACCACCCAAACCGCUAGAAAAUACCCCCCCCCCCCCCUCAUAAUCAAUCACGUGGUCUAUUCUCUCACCCCCUUCCACAUGGCUUGAAAAAUAAUGAACUCUUAUAUUCUCUCACCCUCAUCCCUCUUUUUCACGUGAAGAAGCCUCUAGAAGGCAUGUGCUGGAUUAAUGGAGAACGUGGGAUCAAUUUCGAUUGAUCCCAGCCCUUCAUUCAUCAGGUGUGUGCCUUGUUCAAAAGGAUUUAGGGAUAUAAAGAGAUGUAGGGGUAUUGGAUUUGAGAGGGAGAAAAAAAUAGGAGAGGAAAGUUAAGAUUUGUGGGAGUUUCUUCUUUGUUCUUGGAUUUCCAGAAACAAUACAAAAAAAUACAAAAAUUAUUGUUGUUAAGUUUGAUAUUCGCAUCUCUGUUUUCUUCAAAAAAAAUUUGGAAAUUUCACUUUUAUUAUGGAGUUCGAUUGAGUUUGAGAGUUGAAGUUUGUUCGAGGCCAAGUUCGUGGAUUUUGGAUCCUGUCGCAUUCUCAACUGUUGUUACUUCAAAUUCCAGUGUUGAGUUCACUUGUAUUCAAUUUCAAACGAACUUAAUUGAAGAAUUUUGCAGAUUCAGGUUCACCUAUUUCCUUCUUAUUCUUGUUAAUGGUGAUUGAAACAUGAUAAGAGUCGUAGGUUUGUCAAAUUUGGAAAGUGUUUGAGUCGAUUUAGAAAGGGAAUGGAUUAAGGGCUGAUUUGUGCGAACAUGUACAGGAGUUACACUUAAUGUUCUAGAGUGUCUUUUGGCUCGGAUUGUUUUCCUUACAACCUGAAUGAUUGAUGUGCAAUCGAUUCUGAAACGGUACAGCUUAAUAUGCGUUCAUGCUUGUCUUGAUCGCUUUCUCUGAAUACCCGGGCUGCUUGUUUGGUUACGUGAAUUAGCAUAUAAAAUAAGUGAAUCAUGUUUAGAGUCUAGUUAUUCUGCUUGUCAUGUUACAUUUCGCUCACUAGUGCUGCAACUUACUGUUAAUUUUGCUUGUCUUUGUUAGUUCCCCUGUAAUUCACAUGUCAACGUGCACUCCAGGGUUAUUAAAUGUUAAUCUGACUCUAACAUACACUUCAACCUAGUGAGUUUGUUGAAUAUUGAUAUUCCUGAUUUGCACAUCGAGAUCCUUUCCUCCAUGAAAGGUAUUCUUGCGUGUUUCAGUCCGUUAUCCCUUUUUGUUUGAAACCACAUGGCAUUUGGUGCUUUUCCUCUUUGUUAAUUAGAAGACCAAUCACACAGCUAAGGUCUAGGAUGAUUACUUCAUUGCUCUCGAGUUUAUUUCAUUGGAUUAAUUGAGUUUGAACCUGGAUAAUUGACAAAGUUGGAAUGUCUGUGAUUGUGGUUUAAUGUUGAAUCGCAUUGAAUGUAUGUGUUCGGAUUUGUUCUGUUUUCCUUCUCUUGUUCGAAAAUCUAUCUGCAUUGUUACUGCUAUAAAGAAUUCUGCUCGUUUGAGAUACCGAAGACAGCCGAUUUGAGCAGUAAAUUGAGUCGAUAACCUGCAGUAUAUUGGACAUUUGUCUGAACUGUUAGCCUGUUGAAAAUCUGCCCGGUUUUGCAUUGUUUAGGCAGCAGAUCUGCACAGUUUUAUGUCAAAUUCUGUGCUAUUGGCUCGCGUUGGUUUUGAUUUGAUGGGUAGUUUAUAUGUCUAACUGAGGUUUGUUUGAUUUUGCGAUUGUUGAUCAAACCGGAAAACUGGUGCAUUCAUGUGCAAUUUUCAGAAAGUUUUUGUUUGUCUUCCUCUCUUUGAAAUGAGUUUAUGAUGGACGAUUUGAUAUCUUUUCUGUUAUGGGUUUGGUUAUCGUCACCUUAAUUUGGGUUAAUCAAUAUUUUUAAGCACGUCGACACCCUAGCAGUUUCUUUAUCUAUUUGAAGUUAAUUAAUUUGCACAUAUCUUUAUAUGAAAGUGAAGUCGACACCCUAGCUUGUUGUUCAAAUUGACGUAGGUUAACAUAGGAAGCUAAAGCUCUUAUCAUCCUUGGAUCCCCCAUUUAUCUCCUUUAAUUGUUAUUUGUGUUUUCCUUCUAGUUUAUAUGUUUGAGAUGCUUAUUUUACUUGAUUCGUCUUUAAAUGAUUGUUGGGAUAUUGAAGUGGGGAGGCCAAAUCCCAUUAAUGAUUAAUUUGUUCACAUCCUUUAAGAAUUGGGCUUGGUUGAAUGCUUGAAAUAAAAGCUUAAAGGGGAAUUUGCUUGAAAUUAGUAAAAGUACUCUAUAAUCACAGACCUUUUCAUACAAUCGUCGAAUUAGGGAUUACAUAAUUCGUGAACAUCGUAGAUUGCUUUAGGCAUAACUUAAUCUAUCACCAUGAUUAUGUACACGUCCGCGUGACAUAAUUAUGAUUCUAAAAAUAAAUCGAGGUAUGCGUUCGCGCAACUUCGACCAAACUUUCUUAAUAUUAAUAAAGCAUGAUUAAUUGUGGGUACGUAUGCGUGACAUGAUUCUUGACGCGCCAAACAAAAUGAGUACACGUGCACAUGACUCGUUUUUUAAAGAUAAUUAAGAAUAAUUAGGCAAAUAAAAGCGGUUAAGGGGGUAGAUGCACGUAGGUUUAAAAAUAAUAAUUAGACAAUUUAAUAAGCCAGGUAUAUGAUUAAAGCGACUGUGCUAAAACCACAGAAUUCAGGAAUACCUAACACCUUCUCCCGGGUGAACAGAAUCCCUUACCCGGUCUUUUGGUUUGGCGGACCUUUAAACAUAGUCAAUUUUCAUCGAUUCGGGAUUUUAAACCGGUGACUUGAGAUACCAUAACUUAUCCCAAAUGGCGACUCUGAAUUUGAAUAAAUAAUUCUAUUUCGAUUAUCGUCACUUUACUUGAAAAAACUCACUUAUUCCCUUUCGGGUAAAAAAGAAGGUGUGACACUCAGGCAGCCUCCAUUCCUGCUUGGCAAGAUGCAACGAGAAAGAAAUUUGAAGCUCUAGAUGCCAACCACACUUGGGAUAUUGUAGAGUUGUCUAGAGGCAAGAAAUCCAUUAAUUGCAAAUGGGUUUAUAAGGUGAAAUAAAAAGCUGAUGGUGGUGUAGAAAGGUAUAAGGCUAGUUUCCCCUGUUGUGAAGAUGUCCACUGUCAAGUUUCUUAUAGAAGUGGUUGUUAAACAAGAGUGGUAUUUAGUUCAAUUGGAUGUUAACAAUGCGUUUCUUCAUGGGGAUUUGAAUGAAGAAGUUUAUAUGAAAUUGCCUCACGGACUUUCAGUGUCUGGACCUCCUGUAUCUUCUGCUCCUUUAGUUUGUAGAUUAAGAAAGUCUCUCUAUGGACUAUGUUAAGCUUCUAGGCAAUGGUAUGCCAAAUUGUCUCAGGCUUUAUGUUAUAGGGGUUUCACUCAUUCUAUCAAUGAUUAUUCUCUGUUUGUCAUGGGUUCUCCUGGUUCACUAACUAUUUUAGCUAUCUAUGUUGAUGAUAUAAUUUUGACUGGUGACGAAGUUAAUGUUAUUCUUGAUUUGAAGAUGUUUUUACAUGACCAAUUCAGAAUCAAAGAUCUGGGCACUUUGAAUUAUUUUUUGGGUAUUGAAAUCCCUUAUUAUUCUUCUGGUCUCCUCCUGAAUCAAAAGAAGUUCACUGCUGAUUUGUUAUCCGAAUAUGCUUGUUCUGAUGUUUCUUCUGUGGUGUGCCCUUUAGAACUUCAUAAGAAGUUGUUUGUUGAUUUUGGGGAUCUUCUUGACAAGUCUGAGACCUAUAGGAGUUUGAUUGGGAGGUUACUUUUUCUCAAAUACACUAGGCCUGACAUUUGUUUUGUUGUCCAGCACCUUAGUCAGUUCUUAAAGUGUCCUAGAGUCCCCCACAUAGUUAUUGCCUUGCACAUUUUGAGAUACCUCAAAGGUUCACUUGAUGUAGGAUUGUUCUAUUCACGCUCUUCUGACCUUACUUUGACUGCUUACUCAGAUAGUGAUUGAGCAGCCUGUGUUGAUACUCGUCAAUCUGUGACUGGUUUUUGCAUUUUUCUGGGUGAUUGCUUGAUUGGUUGGAAAUCGAAAAAGCAACCUAUUGUUUCUUUAUCUUAUGUGGAGGCUGAAUAUUGAGCUCUCAACAAAGUGGUUGCGGAGUUGACUUGGUUAGUUUGUCUGUUUGCUGACUUGCAUGUUCCUGUCUCCUCAUGUCCUGUUUCUAUAUUUUGUGAUAAUUAGGUUGUUGUCCAUAUUGCAAAGAACCUCGUCUUCCAUGAGCGUACCAAACACAUUAAGAUGGAUUGUCACUUUAUUCGGACCAAGUAAAAUGAUAGCCCCAUUCAUCUGGCUCAUGUUCCUACUGCUAGGUAGUUUGCCGACAUUUUUACCAAGCCUCUAACUGGGCAGAGUCACCACUAUUUUCUUUGCAAGUUGCAGGUGGUUUCCCCUUCCAACUUGAGGGGGGGUGUUGAACUGGGAGAAUAUUUGGCAUCUGGGCCUCAUCACAAAGGAGCCCAACUUGUGUAAUUUUAUUUUGUAUAGUUAAUAGUGGUAGUGGACGGGUCAGUAGCUUAGGCCCAUAGUAUAUAUAUCAUUUUUGUCACGACCCUAAACCCAAAUCCGGUCGUGAUGGCGCCUCUCAUGAAGACAAGGCCAGCCACUUAACCCAAUUCAUCUUUUUAAAAAGUUAAAUAACAUAAAAGCAGUCUAAAACAUGAUAUAGCAAUACCAAGUAGCGAAUAAUGACAAACAAGUGCAGAAGUACAACCCAACACAGCCCUAACCGGGGUAUCACAAGUCACGAGCAUCUACUGGGGUAUAAAUACAACUGAAGGCGUGAAGUUUACAAAUACGGACUAAUGAAAUGAAGAGAGAGAAGAGCAAUGUUGCGAACGCCAGCAGCUACCUUGCUAAACUCCGAUGACCCUGCUUCCGAUCAGCCAAAACCCGCUACCGGGUGUAUAAAUACCUGAAUCUGCACGCAAGGUGCAUGGAGUAAAGUGAGUACUCCAACUCAGUGAGUAACAAAUAUAAAUAAAGACUGAAGGCAAGAAAUUACGUAAAGCAUAUCAAGAUGUUGUAUAGAAGCAGUCCAAAAUCAGUAAGGAAAACAGUGAGGCUGCAAAAAUCUAUUAAAAUAUCUUAGCUCAGUUUAAACAUCUUUGAAAAUGACUUUUUCAACAAUUACGCAAAUGAAUGCAAAACCGUUUGUGCAUAUAAGCACAGAAAAUCCGCCUAUCGGGCAGAAACACCAUAGCUUAACAGGUAAAAUGACAAGUAAAUAUGAAAGGUAAACACAUAAAGGUUCGCCCCUCGGGCAUAAUGUCAACAACCCCGCCCCUCGGGCAAUAUCUCAGAACAAUAACAGCCCCUCGGCCAAUCACAUAGAAUAGUACCAGCCCCUCGGGCCAUCACAUAAAACAAUACCAUCCCAUCGGGCUAUCACAUAGUACAAUAUCAGCCCCUCAGGCUAUAUCUCACAUCACAAUAGGUAUCCACGCUCAUUGGGGGUGUACAGACUCCGGGAGGGGCCCCUUACGGCCCAAACGCAAUAUCAAGCCACCUCGUGGCAUCAUAAACAAGCCCUCAUCCUUAUAUCAAUAUCAACAAGCCACCCCGUGGCAUCAUAAACAGGCCCUCGGCUUCAUAAUCAAAUCAGUAUCUCACUGCUACGGCGUGCAGCCCGACCCAAAAGUAUCCUCACGAUAUAAGCCAUUGGCCUUACUCAGUCAAAAAUCACAUAAGCUACUCGGGCAAUAGUAAAACAUGAUGCUCAGCCCAAAAUAUCAUUUAAAAACAUCCUUUAAGUCUCAAAACGGAGUAAAAAUGGCUAAGUUUUGAAAACAGUGGAAAAUAACAUGACUGAGUUCAAGUAUAAAGUCAAAACAAUGAGGAAAUAUCGACAGAAAAAAAAUUCCCCGAAGGGUCCAAAUAGCUGGCACUAGGCCCAAAUAUGGCAUUCAGCCCAAAUAAUGAUGAUAGCAAAUAGUUUUUAGUCAAAUACGCGGUAAAAUCAUCAAUCGGGACAGACCAAGUCACAAUCCCCAAUAGUACACGACCCUACGUCCGUCAUCCAACGUGUGUCUCGCCUCAAUAUAGCACAACGAUGUGCAAUCCGGGGUUUCAAACCCUUAGAGCAUCAUUUACAAUCAUUACUCACCUCGAACCGGCUAAAUCUCUAGCUCGCGACGCCUUUGCCCCUUGAAUUGGCCUUUACGCGCGUCGAAUCUAUCCAAAAUCGGAACGAGUACGUCAACAUAUGCUAAGGGAACCAAGCCCAAGCGAAAACAAUCAAUAAAAGUGCACAAAUCCCGAAAUUAGCAAAACCCGAGCUCCGGGCCCGCUUCUCGAAAAUCAAAAAAUUUUACAUCAAUAGAUUCUCCAUCUCUCUACGAGUCUAUGCAUAUCAAGAAUACCAAAAUCGGAGUUCAAAUGACCCCUCAAAUCCUCAAUUUAAGGCCUCUUAAACUUAAGCCCUAAUCCUCCAUUUUUAGCAUUUUGAUUCCUUUAAUUUCAGUCUUAAUCCAUGAAAUACUACCAUAGAAAUGUGUUUUAGGUCCAAAAUUCUUACCUUAACGAAGUUCCAUUGAAAUCUCCCUUCAAAAUCUUUCAAAAGCUCUCAAGCCGAAGUCAAAAAUGGUGAAAACCUUCAAAAAUCGCGAAGGCAAGCUUAUAUACAUUCUGCCCAGACAUUGUCUCAUCUGCGACUCACCAACCGCUUCUGCGGUACCGCAUUUGUGGUCUAGCAUCCGCUUCUGCGGAAAUCACUUAAGGGACCAGAUUCCGCAUCUGCGGUCCACGCGUCGCAUCUGCGACUCCGCAGGUGCGGUCCAUAUAUCGCAUCUACGUCCCUGACUAUUCUUCCCAAAUCCGCUUCUGCGGCUCCCCUUCCGCACGUGCGGCACCGCACAUGUGGUCCCCAAACCGUAGGUGCGAAAACACCAGAAGCAGCAAAUUUUCUGCAAUCACCCAAGUUCAAAUCUUCCCGUUAACCAUCCGAAAUCACCCCGAAACCCUCGGGACCUCAACCAAAAGCACAAAUAUAACCAAAUACCUUAUACAAACUUGUUCCAAUCAUCAAAACACUUCAAACAACAUCGAGUCUACCAAAUCACAUAGGAUUCAAACCUAAGUUUCAAAAAUCUAUUGAAAUACGUUUUUGAUCAAAAACCCAACCAAACCACGUCCGAAUGACCUGAAAUUUUACACACACAUCCCAACUGACACGACGAAGCUACUGCAACUCUCGGAAUUCCAUUCCAACCCCUAUAUCAAAAUCUCACCUAUCAACCGGAAAACGCUGAAAUCUCAAUUUCGCCAAUUCAAGCCUAAACCUUCCACGGACUUCCAAAAUGCAUUUCGAUCAUGCUACUAAGUCCCAAAUCACCUAACGGAGCUAACCAAAUCAUAAAAAUUUUGAUCCGAGAUCAUCUACAAACAAGUCAAAUCUUGGUCAAACUUUUCGAAUUACAAGCUUCAAACUGAGAACUGUUCUUCCAAAUUUCAUGUCGAUUACCCUGAAAACCAAAACCAAUGAUUUACAUAAGUCAUAAUACACCACACGGGGCAAGUCAUGCCCGAGAACUGAUGAUCAAAGUGCAAAAGCUCAAAACGACCGGUCGGGUCGUUACAUCAUCCCCACUUAAACAUACAUUCGUCCUCGAACGUGCCCAUAGUUGUUCUAAAAGCUAACCAAUCGCUGAAUAACCUCACCAUGCACAUACUCGGGGGGUGAUCCCACGUCACCCUAUCUCACAUAGGUUCGAUAACAUAAUAUAACUGAAAUUUCACAAUCCAUCCUAGUCCAUAAACCAUAGAACCACAUUUCUGCUUCUAUAUCCUCAAUACUAUCAGAAUCUCACAUUUAUACUAUGAAUAAGUCCAAACAAGCUGUAAAAAAUCAUAUCUACUAUCUCAAGUGCAAUCACAUUAUAUACCACAUAACUCAAACACUCGCAGCAAUAACUUCUAAUCACAACAGCUGCACAUAACAACCGAAUACCGAUGGAAAACCUCUUAUCAACUAAAGUCUCAUUCCCACACUUUCAUAUAUUGCCAAUGAUAAAUAAACCACACAGUAAGCCCUAACUAUUUCUCAGAUCAACCAUUCAUGAAGCCACUUCUCCUUUGGAAGAGACCAUAGCAAUUUUUCUGAGCCGGAGCUCGAUAUUAUCCUUCUAACAUGUCGAAAUCGAAUUCGUUCGUAUUCAUUAAUGAUACCAACGAUCUCAUCUAAUCCAACAUACUACUCUAGUGAUAUGACACAUCAAUACAUGCCUAAGCCACAACUUGCACAAUACGCGCAUCGAUAAGCAACAGUCCAAACAUACUCAAAUCAUGAAAAUGACUCAAAUGAAAGAGCUAUACCUCAAGCUCACCAGUACCACCACAACACAAGGCUGAGAACCCAUCUCACAUUAUAGGAACAGAACACACGAAUCUAACCCGCAAGGUCACUAUGCUCGAAAUCGACAACCACGUGCAAAUUGAUGUUUGGAACCAAAGCAAAUCAUCAUACCCACGGUAAAGCCAAUAACAUACAUCACACAACCGAAAGGACAUAACCGAUACGCCAUUCACCAAGCUACACCCAAUUACUCUCCCCGCUCGACUUCCACUAUGAAUCUUCAAUAGAAUCAUACCAUAUGUGCCUAUAACCAACAGAUUAUAACACCUCGCAACACAGAAAUGCAGCUCAUAAAUCUCCCCAGAUUACUAAUAAGCUCAAUAACAAUCGAAUCAACACAUCCCCCAACAAUACAACUCGGAGCCAACCAAGCCGACUCCAAUUAGAACACGCAUCCACAUUGGCCUGCCAACGAACUACUUAUCAAGGAAACCUGAAGCUGCUCCUUCAACUUCUUAACUCUGCCGGUGCCAUAUGAUACGGUGCCCAGCAUCAAAUCAAUACCAAAAUCAACAACCUUGCCUGGAGACAUGUCCGGCCAUAAGAAAUACAUCGGAAAAGUCCCUCACCACCGGAACUGAAUCAAUAUGAGGAGCCUCUACACUGACAUCCAUCAUGAAAGCCCAAAUAAGAAAGACAUUCCUUCUCAUCCGUCCACUGGGUCUUCGAAAUAUAAAACCACUCCAAUAGGACAUAACCCGUCGAACAUCACCACUCAAUCCGUGGCAUUUCUGACAUAGCCAACAGCGUCGCCUUAGCGCAAUAGUCCAGAAUAACACAACACGGAAACAAUCAGUCUGAACCUAAUAUCACAUCCAAAAUCUAGCAUACCAAGCAACAAAAGAUCUGCUCGGGUAUCCAAACCCCGAUAGUCACUAAACAGUGCCAAUACAUGCGACCCACAACCACAACAUAGCCUGAACACGAGAACUCCCAGUCUUCAACUCCACAUAGCACAUGAAUCACCACACCUGAUCCCAAUCAUUCCACGAGAGAUACUCUAAAAUUCUUCUGUACCACCAAGCAAACUCGAAUAUCAGCAGUCGGUUUAACAAGAAAGCGCCGCAAUACUACCGAAGCACCAUCAACUUCAUCACAUUGCCUUUUCUGAAACAUAUACCCUCGUCAAAUCACUCCAAUUAGAAAUACCAUUUCCUUAAUCAUCUGAAGAUCAUCCCCCUAAUCAUCUGAAGCUCAUUCCUCUAAUCAUCUGAAACUGCCCGUGUUGCCUAAGAAUUUUAUGACUUUCUAUUCAGAACUGAAUCGUAACCUUCCACAUGCAAAUUUCAAUCCUCCACAACAAAUUGCAUAUACCAUACCACCCUAGGAUAACAUAAGAACUUCAUCUUCCUUCCGAACCACAAACAUCUACGUACUCAACUAGUCAAGAACUUUCCAUAGGUCCCAUCCAGAAGAAAAUCACUAUACAUCAUAUGCUCCUCAUGCCCACAAAAAUAUACAUCUUUAUCCGAGGUAGAAACCAUCAAGAACUCUCCGAGUUCCCCUUGCACAAACCAAACCUGUCAGGACUGAAUCCUUCUAACUCGACCAAGUUAUGCAAGCCAUCAAUACCUAAGAGCAUUACCGCAAAAUACCUAUAGGAACUCAUUACCCUGUACACGCCCAAGGAACUAAUCAUAUCCUUACCAUACCGAUCCGGCCUACUACCAAGCUAUCCCAUCUAUCCCAGUUUCCUUCUGAUUUAUCUUCAACUUGGUAUUCCCUCUUGCUGCAGCAGCAUAACUCCUCAACCCAGACUUACCACGCGAGGCCCAAGCAUAAAAUCACACGGUCUAAGGCUCAUAAGCCACUGAAUACUCUCUUAAAUAUUCCCAAAAGCACCACAUUCAAAAUACUUUACUCUGAAGAACUUCCUGCGAAUCUAAAUCUGUUACCUUUACCUUCCUGAUACUGAUACAUAGAAUCCCAUAAUUAAUAUAGAAAACACCACAAGUCUUGAUAUCUUCCAAUGAAAACUCAGUCUCUAACCACAUAUACAACUUUAAAAUACCCUAUUAUUACAUGUAAAAUCCUGAACACAUUAGAACCAUUCCCACGAGUUAUUCACUCUACUCAAACUGCAAUUAGCCUAAUCAAACGAACCGAACAACCCGUGCCUCGUUAGCACUCUAACAUCGCAGAAUGUGACAUCAUUCCAUUACAACCAAGCAACUUCUUGCUCUAUGCACCGAGCAUCCUUUACCAACAACAACUCAAGACAUGCCGAGAUUCUCACACACUUAUGAAGCAUACUAUAACUUUUGUUAAAAAUUUUACUUUACUCGAGCCAUCCUCGGUCUCAAUCUCCGUGGGCCAUAACUGACAUAGCACCUAGUCGUGCAAUCAACUACUCAACAGCAGACUCCCCCACUUGGCUCGAAGCCAUAGAUCAAAUACACUCAAUAACGCAUAACGCUUAUACUCUAUUGAUGCCAUAAUACCAUAGUGAGGUUAAACUUAAAUCCUUUAUAAGCUUCUAAAAACACAGAUCAUCAAGAAUUUUAACUCUUCUACAAAUCUCGCAUUCACUCUCGCAACAGUUAAGCCCAUUCUCUUAAGCGACCCAAAAUUCAAAUAUCAACACUUACAUUUCACUUGUACAUGAGAUCUUCUAACAAUCACAUAAGGAUCACACAACCCCAGAACACUUCGCAAGAGAUAACCCACCGAGAUCAUCUAGAAACAAGUCAAAUCUUGGUCAAACCUUUCGAAUUACAAGCUUCAAAGUGAGAACUGUUCUUCCAAAUUUCAUGUCGAUUACCCUAAAAAUCAAAACCAACGAUUUACAUAAAUCAUAACACACCACAUGGGGCAAGUCAUGCCUGAGAACUAGCGAUCAAAGUGCAAAAGCUCCAAAUGACCGGUCGGGUCAUUAUAAUUUUAUACAUGUUAUGUAAUAGAUUUUUUCAUUCUUUUGGACAGAACAUAACAUAUUCAAUCGAGAAGCUUCCAUCUUCUUCUUCUCUUUAUUCUCUUUAAUCCUAAUUGAGUUUUCAUGGCGAUCUCGUGGAUAUUCAAGUUUAUCAAAUAAUACAUUCACCUAAACAACCCCUUAUAUCUAAAGGGUAAUGAUCAAUCGGGAAGCUUCCGUUUUCUUCUUCUCUUUAUUCUCUUUAUCCCUAACUGAGUUUUCGUGGCGAUCUCAUGGAUCUUCAAGUUUAUCAAAUAAUACAUUUACCUAAACAACCCCUGAUAUCUAAAGGGUAAUGAUCAAACUGCAACAUUAAUUGACAGACCACAUGAUUUCCAACUUAAAAUUAUUGGAACAACUAUUGUUACCAGUUGUUAUCUGUUAGGAUUAGUCCUUAUCUUUAAUACUUAUCGUUAGAUUAGAUAGAGAUUUAGAGUUCUACUUUCAGUUCAUAUUUAUCAUUUAGUUAGUUAGCUUUUGAUAGUGUUUUGAUUUGAAUAAGUAUCCUAAUUCAAGGAGUACUCUUAGGAAGACUUGUAUUUAAACUAAGCUUGACAUUCAAUAUAUAUAUACAUUUUUCCAUCAUAUCUUUGAGUGUUUAUAUGGUAUUUGAGCCUAUACAAGUCUAACGAGUACGAUCCUAAAUUAUUAUUUUUUUCACCAAAUCCUCCAAUGACGAAAGAUGGAACUACUCCCAGAGUUGUCAAUGUCGACAACACUACUGGUACUACAACCAUUGUUCAAUUCAACCCCACUUCCCAACUACCUAUCAAACUUAGUGGAAGUCACAAUUUUUUUACUUGGAAAGCUCAGUUCUCCAUGCUUAUGCACGGUCAUGACCUCUAUGUUCACCUUGAUGGGUCCACUCUGAUUCCCACUCCAAGCACCACGUUUGGUACGAACACAACCCCCAAUCCUGCUUAUACGCUUUGGUUCCGUCAGGAUCAACUCAUCCAGAAUGCUCUUAUGGCGUCUAUUGACCCGACCAUUGCCUCCAUAGUUGUUGUUGCCAGCACAUCCAAAAAUGCUGACUCCUUGCACACCGUUUAUGCAAACAAGUCCCAAACUCGGAUCUUCGGUCUUCGUGAUCAACUUGCACGAAUCACCAAAUACACCAUCCCCAUUACCAAGUACCUUCAACAUAUUCGGUCCCUUUCAGAUGAACUUGCUACUGCAGGUGCCCCGGUCACUAACUCCGAACUUAUUGUCAAAAUCCUAAUUGGACUUGGCCCUGAGUUUCGUGAGAUCUCGGCUGCCAUACGAGCACGUGACACCACAGUCACCUAUGAGGAAUUAUAUGAAAAGCUGGUUGACCAUGAGCUCUUUAUCUGUCACGAGGAAGCCAAGAAAACCAAUAGUCCUAUCACAGCAGCAGUUGCCACUCGCGACAAACUGAACAACAAUUCCAACAAUCGCAACAAUCGCCGCCAAUUUUACAACAACAAUUCUCAGCAAUGGCGACAGAACAACCGCCCCAAUACAUCUACCCAUUGCCAACCCUACAUAAUAACACAGCAUGUGUUAUUCGUUGUCAAUUAUGCAACAAGAUUGGCCAUGUUGCAAAUGUGUGCUGCUCCAAGUCACACAACCACUUUGAGGCCAAAGCCAAUUACAUCACAGGCUUUAACACUACUGCUAACUCGUGGAUAGUCGUCUCUGGUGCCACACACCACAUCACAACUGAACCUCACAACCUACAGCAGUACCACAGCAACGAGAAUGUCUCCAUGGGUGAUGGUAACAAAAUUCUCAUAUCACAUAUUGGCUCUACUCAAUUAAAUGCAUCAAAUAAUAUUUUUAAACUAACUCACACUCCAUGUGCUCCAGCUAUUAAACUCAAGCUUAUUUCUAUUUCCACAUUCUAUCAAGACAAUCUAAUGUCUGCUGAAUUUUUUUCCUUUUUCUUUUCUUGUGAAGGAUCUGAAAAUGCAGAUACAAUGGAGUAUAUGAGUGACCCACUUCACAUCCAUAAGCUCACAUAUCUACC
RNAcentral lists this long non-coding RNA (13295 nucleotides) under Nicotiana tabacum (common tobacco). RNAcentral's name for it is "long non-coding RNA (NTAB_LNC016802)". Lineage: Eukaryota; Viridiplantae; Streptophyta; Magnoliopsida; Solanales; Solanaceae. The record is from RNAcentral.